CCAGACUCCUACGGGAGGCAGCAGUGGGGAAUAUUGCACAAUGGGGGGAACCCUGAUGCAGCGACGCCGCGUGAGCGAAGAAGUAUCUCGGUAUGUAAAGCUCUAUCAGCAGGGAAGAAAAUGACGGUACCUGACUAAGAAGCUCCGGCUAAAUACGUGCCAGCAGCCGCGGUAAUACGUAUGGAGCAAGCGUUAUCCGGAUUUACUGGGUGUAAAGGGAGCGCAGGCGGCGCGCCAAGUCUGGUGUGAAACCCCGGGGCUUAACCCCGGAACUGCUUUGGAAACUGUGCAGCUAGAGUGCAGGAGAGGUAAGUGGAAUUCCUAGUGUAGCGGUGAAAUGCGUAGAUAUUAGGAGGAACACCAGUGGCGAAGGCGGCUUACUGGACUGUAACUGACGUUGAGGCUCGAAAGCGUGGGGAGCAAACAGGAUUAGAUCCCCUCGUA
RNAcentral lists this ribosomal RNA (444 nucleotides) under uncultured bacterium. RNAcentral describes it as "bacterial SSU rRNA". It matches the Rfam family "Bacterial small subunit ribosomal RNA", at positions 331 to 792 of the family's 1533-position model. The record is from RNAcentral.